This 213-nucleotide small RNA is filed under the name Acidobacteriota bacterium. RNAcentral's name for it is "Acidobacteria bacterium c-di-AMP sequence". It matches the Rfam family "c-di-AMP riboswitch aptamer (ydaO/yuaA leader)". From Rfam's summary of the family: This family represents a conserved RNA structure found upstream of the ydaO and yuaA genes in Bacillus subtilis and related genes in other bacteria. The ydaO/yuaA element is thought to act as a genetic "off" switch for the ydaO and yuaA genes in its native state. It is believed that the element may be triggered during osmotic shock leading to activation of ydaO, a predicted amino acid transporter gene, and members of the yuaA-yubG operon which code for KtrA and KtrB K+ transporters. Lineage: Bacteria; Pseudomonadati; Acidobacteriota. The record is from RNAcentral.
GAAAACUUGUCGCCGAAGCCGCUCGCCGUGUUCGGGUUUUGAGGAUAACGAGACGGGCGGCGCGGGGGAACCAGAGUCCUCUUUUUUUCGGGAGGACGCGGGGCGUAUCGUAUGCGCUCGGACGCGCGAACAUUCUCGCUCGGAGAGCAUGCGAUGGAUACUUCCUCAAUCCAAGCCCGUCAGCUAACCUCGUAGGCAAUAGAGGGAAGGGCA